Molecule: long non-coding RNA, 312 nt
Organism: Onthophagus taurus
Lineage: Eukaryota; Metazoa; Arthropoda; Insecta; Coleoptera; Scarabaeidae
Source: RefSeq, a predicted model, not a curated record
AGGUUAAAAAAAGAGGUCGGAAAAGGUCAAUAUGGAAGUUAUUUUUACAUCUCGGUGAAAACGACACUUGUCGUACGUAAGUUUCACGGUUAAACGAUGAAAAGUGGGUCGUCUCAAUCUCGUUUGCGAAUCCAUUGCCAAGACGUUUUAUAUGGUUUCCAAAAAAAUGCUCACUAGGCAAUAAAUGGAUUUGCUAAGUAAACUGAGUAAGAAAGUAUGUAACGAUAAGAAAGUUGGUGUAAUCGAAAAAAAAAAUAGAAAUGGAACGGAUUUCUUGUAGAUUAAAACCCGAUUAAAGUAAUGUACAAAUAA